CGCUGCGAAGCGCACGGCCCGUCGCUCGUCGCUCGCUUUACUUUUAAUACGAAAGUAAACAAAUGUUAUGUGAUAAUAGAAACUUUAGAUUAGCAUGUAAUGUGGUUUGAAAACUGACGGGGGCCUGUCUACUCGAACUAAAGAUGAAAGCGUGGACUGCGCAUGAGCAAGACACAACACUAUCUUGUUGUAGGACGCUACACGUCAAACACGCUGCGUAUGCCAGUGCCCUCUAUACCUUGAAUAUAUCUAUACUCGUGGUGCUGUUGUAUAGUUGGAGGAUCGGCGUCAAUGCCAAAAGGUAUAAGGAGCUUGAUGAUGUUUAUUAUGGUG
Manduca sexta (tobacco hornworm) is the source of this 333-nucleotide long non-coding RNA. RefSeq lists it as uncharacterized. The transcript has 3 exons. NCBI's taxonomy places the organism in Eukaryota, Metazoa, Arthropoda, Insecta, Lepidoptera, Sphingidae. The record is from RefSeq and is a predicted model, not a curated record.